GAUGAACGCUGGCGGCGUGCCUAAUACAUGCAAGUCGAGCGAACAGACGAGGAGCUUGCUCCUCUGACGUUAGCGGCGGACGGGUGAGUAACACGUGGAUAACCUACCUAUCAGACUGGGAUAACUUCGGGAAACCGGAGCUAAUACCGGAUAAUAUAUUGAACCGCAUGGUUCAAUAGUGAAAGACGGUUUUGCUGUCACUUAUAGAUGGAUCCGCGCCGCAUUAGCUAGUUGGUAAGUUAACGGCUUACCAAGGCAACGAUGCGUAGCCGACCGGAGAGGGUGAUCGGCCACACGGGAACUGAGACACGGUCCAGACUCCUACGGGAGGCAGCAGUAGGGAAUCUUCCGCAGUGGGCGAAAGCCUGACGGAGCAACGCCGCGUGAGUGAUGAAGGUCUUCGGAUCGUAAAACUCUGUUAUUAGGGAAGAACAAAUGUGUAAGUAACUAUGCACGUCUUGACGGUACCUAAUCAGAAAGCCACGGCUAACUACGUG
RNAcentral lists this ribosomal RNA (497 nucleotides) under uncultured bacterium. RNAcentral describes it as "partial 16S ribosomal RNA". It matches the Rfam family "Bacterial small subunit ribosomal RNA", at positions 28 to 507 of the family's 1533-position model. The record is from RNAcentral.